GUCCGUAUGGCUCAGUGGUCGGAGCAUCUGCCUAGCAAGCAGGAGACCCAGGUUCGAAUCCUGGUCCAGGCC
Molecule: non-coding RNA, 72 nt
Organism: Schistocerca nitens (vagrant locust)
Lineage: Eukaryota; Metazoa; Arthropoda; Insecta; Orthoptera; Acrididae
Source: the annotation of a RefSeq genome assembly